Molecule: transfer RNA, 98 nt
Organism: Beauveria bassiana D1-5
Lineage: Eukaryota; Fungi; Ascomycota; Sordariomycetes; Hypocreales; Cordycipitaceae
Rfam family: tRNA
About the family: Transfer RNA (tRNA) molecules are approximately 80 nucleotides in length.
Source: Rfam
GCCAGGAUGGCCGAGUGGUUAAGGCGGUGGUUUUAAGUUCUUUUAUGCUUAGCUCACCACUAUCGCGAGAUUCCAGGGUUCGAACCCCUGUCCUGGCA